UUAUGGCUGGGAUGGCAAAUCCAAAGACUUUAAAGAAGCCUUAAAUAAGGGGUUUUAUCACGGGGUUAAGUUGGGCGCUAAAGCCGUAUU
Molecule: transfer RNA, 90 nt
Filed under: Prolinoborus fasciculus
Lineage: Bacteria; Pseudomonadati; Pseudomonadota; Betaproteobacteria; Neisseriales; Neisseriaceae
Description: tRNA-Phe
Source: RNAcentral